Leptonychotes weddellii (Weddell seal) is the source of this 631-nucleotide non-coding RNA. Lineage: Eukaryota; Metazoa; Chordata; Mammalia; Carnivora; Phocidae. The record is from RefSeq and is a predicted model, not a curated record.
CCAGGGCCCGCGCCGCGGGGACCGUGCAGCCGGGAGAGCGCGGGGCUGCGCGGGCCCCGGAACCUCGGCGCGGAGGGGUUUCAUCUAAUAUUAAUUGUUUUAACCUCUUGUGGUUUAAGCGGUUUUAUUGGCAGGAAGAUGCAGGCAGCAGCGCGUUAGGGGCGAAGGCUUCGGAUUGCGCUCACAGGGGAAACAAUGGGCUGGAAUUUGAGAAAACAAACCCAAGAUGUUAAUUAGCCGCUAAGGCACUCGGGGCACUUUGCAAAUACUAACAUAGCCUACUUGUAAACUCCCGAGGGCUGCGACUUCGUUAUUUGUUUGACUUCCAUGGAUCUCAGAGAAAACAAUCUAUUUUAAAGAGGAACGAGGUUGAUCCACCGGGGUCUUCUCACCGCACUGCAGGUGAGCAAGGGUCCCGCGCCCCCGCCCCGCCCUGGCUGACUGCAGAGGGGCCGUCAGACUCAGUCUCUCUGGCGAGGACCUCGGGGGAGCCUGUGGCCGUCGGUGCCCUGAAGCAUGGAUUCGGAGCAUCAGCAGCUUGCCUUUGAAACCUUGGGCUGUGUGACUCUGAGCGGGUUAUUUGCCCUGGCUCAGUUUCCGUUUAUACCUAGCUCCUGGGUUUGCUGGAAGA